This 254-nucleotide ribosomal RNA is filed under the name uncultured bacterium. RNAcentral's name for it is "partial 16S ribosomal RNA". It matches the Rfam family "Bacterial small subunit ribosomal RNA", at positions 524 to 776 of the family's 1533-position model. The record is from RNAcentral.
UACAGUGAUUGCAAGCGAUAUCCGGAUUGAUUGGGCGUAAAGGGUUCGUAGGUGGUUUGGAAAGUCUACUGUCAAAGACCAGAGCUUAACUUUGGGAAGGCGGUAGAGUACUACUAAACUUGAGUACGGUAGGGGCAGAGGGAAUUCCCUAAGUAGCAGUGAAAUGCGUAGAUAUAGGGAGGAACACCAGAGGCGAAGGCGCUCUGCUGGGCCGUUACUGACACUGAGGGACGAAAGCUAGAGGAGCAAAAAGG